This 117-nucleotide small RNA is filed under the name Klebsiella pneumoniae. RNAcentral describes it as "partial RtT sRNA". It matches the Rfam family "RtT RNA", at positions 16 to 130 of the family's 130-position model. From Rfam's summary of the family: This family represents a bacterial cis-regulatory element known as RtT RNA. The exact function of RtT is unknown although it is thought that it may be involved in changing the cellular response in relation to amino acid starvation. Lineage: Bacteria; Pseudomonadati; Pseudomonadota; Gammaproteobacteria; Enterobacterales; Enterobacteriaceae. The record is from RNAcentral.
GGAAGGAUGAGAAGCUUCGACUAAGGUUCGACUCGAGCGAAGCGAGAGAACGUUGCCGCAGGCAACGGCCCGAAGGGCGAGGCGCUUUAGCGCCGAGUAAUCCUUCCCCCACCACCA